GGCGCCUUGGCCGAGUGGUCUAAGGCGAUUGAUUAGAAAUCAAUUCUCCAUUGGAGGCGUAGGUUCGAGUCCUACAGGCGUCG
Molecule: transfer RNA, 83 nt
Filed under: Taphrina deformans PYCC 5710
Lineage: Eukaryota; Fungi; Ascomycota; Taphrinomycetes; Taphrinales; Taphrinaceae
Description: tRNA-Ser (AGA) (tRNA-Ser-AGA-1-1)
Rfam family: tRNA
About the family: Transfer RNA (tRNA) molecules are approximately 80 nucleotides in length. Their secondary structure includes four short double-helical elements and three loops (D, anti-codon, and T loops).
Source: Rfam by way of RNAcentral